CAGUUGGGCGCAAACCACGCCCCCUACGCGAAUUCAUUGGUCAACCCUGUUACGUCACCUGAGAAGAUGUUUGGACAAGGUCGUUGAUGGAUCCGUCGCUGACAAACGGAGAGUACGCAUGUUUAGGCUGUGGAGAAGACCAAGCCGUAACGUUACAUCUGAAGUUGGGCGCAAACCACGCCCCCUACGCGAA
This is a long non-coding RNA of Sinocyclocheilus grahami, 193 nucleotides long. RefSeq lists it as uncharacterized. Lineage: Eukaryota; Metazoa; Chordata; Actinopteri; Cypriniformes; Cyprinidae. The transcript is spliced from 3 exons. The record is from RefSeq and is a predicted model, not a curated record.